This is a non-coding RNA of Monodelphis domestica (gray short-tailed opossum), 1647 nucleotides long. The record is from RefSeq and is a predicted model, not a curated record. Lineage: Eukaryota; Metazoa; Chordata; Mammalia; Didelphimorphia; Didelphidae.
AAGGUCAUCACCCUCCAGGCUUGGGUUCUAGAAGGCGGGGUAGCACAGUGUCAACAAUGCUCAGGAGGACCUAGCUUGGAACUCUACCUCAUUCACAUGCCAACUGUGUGAUCCUGGCAAGUUACUCCACCCCUUUUCCUCCUUUGUAAAAUGGGGAUAAGAAGAAGCCAACCCCAGAGGGCUGUAAUGAGGACCCCAUGAAACAAGCUUGUCACUCUGCAGCCAUCGAGGGAGAGGAUUAAUUUGAUUCACCAUCCAAGGAGAUUAAUGGGUCCAGUUGGAUUCCAGAGUUCAGAAGGAUAAUGGUCUCUCUCAGCCUAUCAGCCAAUGUCCAUGGUUGGCCUCUGGUAGGAGGCUCUGUCACCUUCCAUCUGCCAUCGUGGGAUGUCAGUGGCCUGCCAAUAGGAGAUGGGGGUGAGGGUCAGGAACAGGAGAGCCCCCCAAGAAAGUGCCCAGCAAAAGGGUGGCCGUCUCUGAUAUCUAGUCCUUCCCAGCCCCAGGAAGUAGAGAAGCCUUUUCUUCAACCAAAUGACAGGAGAAAUAGUUGGCAACCAUCAUCGUCCAAACCCAAGAAAAUCUAUUUGAACACCUCUCGUACUCAGAACACAACAAGCUGAAAACCACCAUUCUAGCUCGGUGUGCCCCUGAAUGCUUUCUCAUCCAGGGUCAGAUACCCGGAAGGGACAUGGCAAUAUCCUGGGAUCCCUGACCAAGGAGUCCAGCUCUGCCAAGUCAAAUAAUCACUGUGUGAUGGUAACCUCAGAAUCCAGCCUGCCCGCCAGGCGACGGAGAUUCAAUCCCUGCACUUUUCACAGGGCUCCGGAAUCAACUGAAAAGGGAGCUGUUUAGGGAAGAGGAAUUCAGGCCAACGUAGCCUUUACUAUGUGGCCGCUAUGAACCAGGCAUCACACCACACCAAGACAGAAACCAAAAGUAGUUUCUCAAGGACCUUCCAUUCCACUGAGAAAAGUAAAGAGAGCUUUCCCUCUGUACCAAGAGAGGCAGCCGAAAGCAGCAUCUAAAGAACUGGCCUCAACACAGGAACACGCGAGUUCAAGUCCUCCCUCCAAGACGUACUAGCUGUGUGACCCGGGGCAAGUCCCCCCAGUUCCGUGUCCCAGCCCAUUCUCCGAAAUCCCGAGUCCUGGAGAAGGUGCUGGCUGGUUUCAGAAGGAGUUUCCUCAGCGGGGACUCUGCUCCGCGCCUAGUCCUGUCCUCUUCUUUACCAGACACUGGGUUUAGUCAUGAGAGUCCUGACCCUCAAGGAGAAUGACAAGGGGGACAGCAUCGGGUCUGAGAAGUCCCGGGGAUGGGAGAGCAAUGUUAGGACGAGGAGCCCUGGGAACGUUUGUUUGAUGGCAGGAUGGCUUGUUUUACUGUGGUAACAGUUAUCCAGAGCUCACUCAGGGCUGAAGCAUGGCCAGAAGAGAUCUAUGGAACAAGCAGGUCUCUUUCUUUAUCAAUCCCUCUGGAAGUCUCUUCAGAGCCCCGGGGACUUGUUUGUCACUGAGAUGGUCAAAUAGGGUCUACCCUUCCCAGUAUGUCCUCUCCCCCCGGAUCUGUCCCAGCAGACGUCGCCUUGCCUACUUGAUAUUUCUUUACAAUGUUUUAAAUCCCAUUAUAAUCAAUUGUGUUCAACAGAAUGUU